RNAcentral lists this long non-coding RNA (3101 nucleotides) under Anolis carolinensis (green anole). RNAcentral describes it as "lncRNA (ENSACAG00000035879.1)". The record is from RNAcentral. Lineage: Eukaryota; Metazoa; Chordata; Lepidosauria; Squamata; Anolidae.
AUGAAUAUGGCAUGGGAGGAUUUGUGUCCCAUGGUUGUUAGAUUGUGGAGCUUGAAGGUUCUGUUCUGUUCCCCCUUAUUUAUUUGUUUGUUUGUUUGUUUGCAGUAUUUAUACCCUGCUUUUCAUCCCAAAGGGGACUCAGAGUGGCUUUACAGAACAUAUACAGUAUAUGGCAAACAUUCAAUGCUGAUUAUACAAUUAACAAGGACAGACAACACAGAAGAGGGGACUCAAAGCGGUCCAUCUUCUAUCACUGGAGGCCCAGGUGAAUCCUAAGGCUUCGGAUGGCUGCAGCUAGCCCUGGAUGGUCCACCAACAAUAACUCUUCUGAAUAAGGAUAACUUGGCCAAAGUAAUUCAUGCACUGAUUACUGCAAUGCACAGAAAGGCUGAAGCUCGCACAAUAUGCUCUCGCCUGAUGGGAGAAUGAGCCUAUGCCAAAGAAGCCUGAAGAAUCUACAUAACAUUGACAUUAAAGAAACUGCAUUGAUUUCAAUAUGCUUUCAAUCUGAGUUGAGGUGCUUAUAAUGUGAUUUAAAGCUCUAAGCAGCCUGGAACCUUAAUGCUUUAAAGAGUGUCUUUCUCUCUAUACAUUUCUACAUUAAUUUCCACACCAUGUUGAAAUUAAAAAUUAAGCUCAUACUUGUAUAUAUCACUUCUUAAGUGGCUCUUUAGUAUUUUAAAUCCAUAUUUGCACAGUCUUUCCUUCAACUACAUCCAAGUGCAGUCAUGGCCAUUGACAGAAUGUUUAAGAAAAACAGAAUGUGAGCAUUAAUCUAUACAUUAAACAUUAAAGUGUUUUACCUACAGCUUAAAUAUUUGAUUUAUAGAAAGCAGAAUACUUUCAUAGCCACAGGAGGUAAAAGUCAUAAUUCUACCUCAUGGCACUUUGAAAAUAUCAGAGUACUGAAGCAUCAAAAUACUAAAAGGGAAAAAUCUACAUGGACAUUUUAGCCUCCAAAGCUCUUGAGAGCUGACAACAUCAGAUAGUUUGAGACCUACCAUUAUGGAAAAUCUUUUUUUAAAAAAUCAGGCAACAAGUCCUUUUGAUCAAAUAAAUGCAAAUAGAUAAAAAUAAUAGAUUCUCAAACACAGGCCUUUGCUCUGCAGAAGAUUCCCUCUGAGAUUUAGCAUAGCAACACUCAGGAAGAAAGGCAUUUAGCUACAUAUGUAACAGGCUGGGAUUAGCAUAAAGAAAGCUAAUUGGCAUUUGCUUUGAAGUUCCAGUGUCAGGAAAGAGCAAUUAGGACAAGGAGUGCACACACACAAACACACACAACUGCACAAACAUGACCUCUAGAGUUCUAUCCGUGGAAUCUAGGUAUAGCUAAAACCAAUUAAUGAAGUUUCAGUAAACCAAAUUAUGUAUCACUAUGCUUUCCCACCCUUUUUUUGACAUCCAUUUUUUGACAUCAAAUAUAAGAAGAUAUAAUCAUCCACAUUUUUAAAAAAUGGAAUAGAUAAAAAUGAUAUGUAUAUGUAUGUAUGUGUGAAAAUAUAUUCUAAUGCAGGAAUUAUAACUUUCAAAAAUACUUCUCAGCAAAAGCACAGAAUGCUAAUUGUACUGGCUCGGUGGGACUGGGCUGAUUUCCUAUGAGAGGUAGACUGAAUUUAGAGCUGCAAGAUGGCCAGUUUUAAAUCAACUAAGCCAUUUGUGUGUGGUGUGUGUGGCCUGUAUUUUUAGCUCUGAUCCCUUGGAGAAUUUUACAAGCGCAGAAAUAAGCAUCAGAAGCAAAACUGGUCAGAUGGGAACUGACCCACGUUAAAGGUGCUCAAGUUUCAUUUCUGUCCUUUCCUUUUUUAUGGUGAGUGUUUUUGAUAAGGCCUUUGUUUAUAUUAUGGUGAAUUUUAAUUUUCCCUGGAACAACAGAAAAGUUGAUCACCUUUAAAAGUAAUCUGGGGAGUGCAAUACUGGCUGAGAUCCUUGUAAUCUUCAACUAUCUUAAUUUGUCAGGGAAAGCUCCAAUUAAGCCUUUGUCACCCCACAUUUACAACUGCUUUCAAAAUGGUUUGUUGUGUGGUUUCUGGGCUGUAUGGCAAUGUUAGUCGUCCCCCCCCCCCCCCCCGCUGUCCUCACAGUCUUCUUUUGAAGCAUAAUUUACUGUUAUGCUCAGGACUGCUUAAUAUAAGUAUAAGCAGAUUUGCAUGUGUGCAUAUGAGGUCCAGCAAAUAACAGUGGAAAUUUUUUAAAAACCACUUCUGUGGGAUCUCUCUCCCCGCCCCAAUUGUUAUUUUAACUGUUUAAGAUUAUAAAGUGUAAAAGAAAAAGUUUCAGAGAAUUCUAAUUGCUUUCUAUGUGUGCUUCCCUUGAACACCUGUGAGUUCAAUUUGACAGCCCAAUCAGUUGAUCAGCUAUUUAGGGCUUUUAAAAAGUGCAUGUGACCUGGAGCAGUCUACACUGGGAGAGGGAAGGAAAGCGUGUGUUUUGCAUGAAUGCAGGGAUAUACAGUCAUGCAAAGGUGCACAUUUUUCAGGCUGAACCAGGUUAUCUUUUUAAACACGUGUUGUUGUUUUUUUACCUCUUAACCCAAUCUCUUCCACACUUUGGCUAACUGCCCCCUCUCUAACCUGGUUAUUUCUGGGUUUUACAGCAUGUGUAGAAGGGCCCUGAAUUCCAAAUGCAAAAGUAUUUUUGACUCAAUUAACUUAGCAAAAGUGAAGGGAGAGGGGAGGCAGAGGCUUGCUCUUUGCUGUUAGUGCACACAAAAGCACACUGCUCCACUUCUCACUGGUUUGGGUAUUCUUCAUCAUUAGUCAUUUUUGCCAUCUUCACAAUGUUCUUGGUUAAGUGUCCCCAUUUUUAUUUGUGAAAUGUUAGAGAAUAUGAAUCUUGUUCAAUGUACUUAUGUAAUGGUGGCAUUCCAAGUGAUGCUUUGGCUGUUCUGCUGGCAGUUCUCAGCUGUAGGUUGGGCCUAUAUACUAGCCUGCUGGCACACUGUGGGUCCAUCCAGACAAACCCAUAAUGCGGGAUCUGUCUUGGUUUUACCAGAGGCAUCCAGAUGACAUUUCUGGUAAAACCAAAUUAAUUAAACACCCGGUAAGAUCCAGAUCUAUUUGGCAUGCAGCCACCCUACUUGGAAAGCCCUGUUUUUGGGGGCUUGU